This 67-nucleotide transfer RNA is filed under the name Pielomastax zhengi. RNAcentral describes it as "tRNA-Ser". The record is from RNAcentral. Lineage: Eukaryota; Metazoa; Arthropoda; Insecta; Orthoptera; Episactidae.
AGAAACUCAAGCCAUUAAAGAAGCUGCUAACUUCCAUUAAUAGCGGUUAAAUUCCGUUAACGUUUCU